This is a small nucleolar RNA of Malania oleifera, 74 nucleotides long. RefSeq annotates it as small nucleolar RNA R66. The record is from RefSeq and is a predicted model, not a curated record. The transcript has a single exon. Lineage: Eukaryota; Viridiplantae; Streptophyta; Magnoliopsida; Santalales; Ximeniaceae.
UCCUGUGAUGGCAUGAAAUCUUUGAGACCUGAUUUUCUAAUUUGAUGAAACCUACAAGCAGUUUUUCUGAGGAU